AGAGCGGGUGUGCAACCAAUCAAGCAUGGAUGCUCCUGCAUAUGAUAGAGUUAACUUGUUGUCCAUCACUGUCCUGGGAAUGAGGCUCCUGCUUGUCAAAACUUUGGCCUUCAACCUGCUUCUAAGUGCAAAGUUGUUUGUUCUGUAAGACAAUCCAAUGGACCAGAAGAAAACAUCAUCUUUAUAAAGUCAUCCCGAAAUAAAUAUAUAAAAUUGCCAACAAUUUACCAAAAAACAAAUACCGGUUAUAUAUUGUAAUUUUCAUCUGAUUAAAAUAAAUUUUAACCAGUAAUCAGGUUUAUUCAUUUGGAUGUAUCUACCCUUGGUCCCUGGGUGACUUUAUUCUAUGUUGCUACUAUAUGUGUGCUGUUAUACCAAAUUAUAAAUUCUACAUUUCCAUGUUGACAAAUAGAAAUUAAAUUC
Molecule: long non-coding RNA, 423 nt
Organism: Spea bombifrons (plains spadefoot toad)
Lineage: Eukaryota; Metazoa; Chordata; Amphibia; Anura; Pelobatidae
Exons: 3
Source: RefSeq, a predicted model, not a curated record